AGGUAAAUGAAUGAAUGAAAGAAUAAAGUGAGUGUUUGAGUUAGUUAGAAAAAGAGUGAACUAUAUAGGCUAGAGAAUGACUGCCAAAAAAACCACAAGGGCAUUGCAAAAUCUCCAUAAUACACACAUAAAUGUUCAUGCAUUCUAUGAUGGAGAAAGAAGUUCAUCUGUUUAUAUAAUUCCUAUCAAAACUGUAUUUCCUCUUAUGUUUUUUACUUUCUUGAACUCUUUAAAACAAGAAACUUUUAACUCUUUUGUUCUCUGAACAUUUAAAAUAACUUUUUGGUGUUAUUUCUUUCGUUUUUUCUAGCCAGUGAAAUAUUUAUCCCAAUGAGCUGUUUUUCACUUAACCUUGCUUAGUGUCUUUGUCUGUAGUCACCACUUGGCCUUUUCACUACUAUAUGCAUUAACACCCAGGUAGGAAAGAGACAAAUGGAAGCAAAAUAGCAAAAUGGUGAAGAGGAGGGUUCUAGAGGCAGAGAGCCCUGCAGUCCUGAGUCCUGAGUCCACCGUUUAACAGAGUGACUUUGCUCAGCCUGUGGAUUAUAAUGAAACUUGCCUGUUAUAGGAUCCAGUUUUUUAGGUGGUAGCAACAUGCUCAAGGAAGAUGCAGCCCCUUCCUCCAGCCUGAGAGAAUAAAGCAUCAUUGGCUUAUGCCAACCAUGGCAAUCCCAUUCCCCUUUUCUCAUGAUUGAUUUGGGAAUGGGCAAGUGACCCAGUUCUAACCAAUGAGACGAAAGAAAAAGUCUAUUGGUCAGCUUAUCUCAGAAGAUUUUUGUUUCCUGCUAUAAAGAGAAACAGUAAGUUCCUUCCUGCCUGACUUAAAUGCAAUUGUGUGCAAACAUGUUACUUGGAGCUACAGCAACGAUUCUGUGACCAUGAGGCAAUAAGCCAAGGACAAAGGAUAGAAUAGUGAAAAGACAGAGUAUUGGAUUUUUUUUAUGAUAUCAUUGAACUGCUGGACCAAUGUGGAACCAUCUACUUUUAGUCUUUCAUGAUUUGUGAGAUGAUUAAACAUUUCUUUUUUUUAGCCAUUAUUUCUUUUCUGUUACUUGCAACUGAAGACAUCCUACAUAAUACAAACACUAUCCAACUUGGAUUGUAAUUUAUCUAUUUUCAGAUCUGUGUGUUCUGUCUUACUGAUUUUUGUAUUCUUAGCACUGAGUAUAAGGCUGCUACUUAGUAAGACUUCAAUAAAUGACUGUUUAAAAAGGUCUUAGAGGAUUUAAAAAAAAUUCUGAAGUUGCUGAAAUAUGAAGACCAGGAACCAAUUUCAGGUUCUAUAAAUUUCUCGCUUCCUUCACUUCUGGAGUAGUCUUCAUUUCUGUCUGAUUCUACCUUUACUAAAAUGAAUGAAUGAUUGAGAAAUACGAAAAAUGGCUGGUAUAGUGGCUACUGCUGAGAAGUAUCUCUUGGAAAUUCCCGGAAAUUCCAUCAGUCACAUUCAGACCUAACUCUCUGAUGAUCAAUGUUUCUGAACUCAAACCAGUGUACAUAAGCAGUGGACUAUUUAAAGUGGUAUUAGCCUAGAAUAUCUAGGACCCAUGUUUUAUGCAUUCAGUAAGCGUUUGUUUAAUGUCUGUUAUCUACCAGGCACAUUAUUAUGCAUUGGGCAUAUAGAGAUGACCAACCACACGGCCUCAAUCCUUGAAAAGCUUACAGUAACCAAAUAGGGUUAACGGCCUAAAGAGAGGUAAUUACAAGUCUUACACUCAGUCUUCUUAGCAUAGUAUGGUGCUACCUCUGAGUUAAUUAAGAUAACAAAAUUCCUAGAUAUAUAUCUUUGAUGAAACGGUUUCCAUGAAAACUUUCCAAGUUUGGUCCCUCCCCGGCUGAGUUCAUUUUGGAAGGUGACUUUCUGCUCUCAUCACCUAAGGUCCUUAACACGUAUCCUGUGUUCUCCGGAGGCACCCCUUGCCCAGAGUGUGCCCUCUGCAUGGUUCCCCCAGAACACCUAUUUCAAAGGAAAAGAAGUUGGAUCAUUCAGUGAAGAUUUGGGGGGCCACUUUUCUACGUGGGAGGAUUAUGAGUAUUACCUUCCUCCCCUAUGUAUUAGUAAAUAUAAAGAAAACAUAAAUUAACCCCCUUUCUGGCUGGGCACGGUGGCUCACGCCUGUCAUCCCGCACUAUGGGAAUCCGAAGUGGGCGGAUCACUUGAGGUCAGCAGUUUGAGACCAGCCUGGCCAACAUGGCAAAACCCCGUCUCUACUAAAAUAUAAAAAUUAGCCAGAUGUGGUUGCACACAUCUCUAGUCCCAGCUACUCGGGAGGCUGAGGCACAAGAACUGCUUGAGCCUGGGAGCAAGGGUUGCAGUGAGCUGAGAUUGUGCCAUUGCACUCCAGCCUGGGUGACAGAGCAAGACUCUGUCUCAAAAAAAUAAAAUAAAAUAAAAAUAAUUUAGACCCCAUUCUUCUUAGAUAACCAUGACUUCUGAAGGAGGUCAGAGCUCUUGUGCUCUGCAUCUCUGCUCCAUCAGCCUCAAGGCCACCUUUCAGGUCCACAUGAAAUAUAAGUGCACAAAGGCACCAGACUUAGCAUUAUUAGUUUCCCCCACUGGUCUGAUUUUUGUAGAAAUUGCCAGGAACUGAUUUUCUGCCCUUCCUUCCUAACAGACAAGCCUUCCAGCCCUCCCUGACACAGCUCUUCCCUAUCUCCUACUCUCUGGUCAUCAAGCUUUUAGAGAUGCCCUGGCCUUCUCUAGUUGCCCCAGCUGUAUUUUUUCUUCUUGGGAAUGCGUUGAUUCCAGAGCCUGACUGGGAAUAAAUCUCAGCUCCUCCAUUUAGCAGUUAUGGGAUUCAAGUUACUCUUACUCCCAGGGACUCAGUUUCUGCACCUGUAAAAUGGAGAUUUACCACCUUUCGUUCCAGCAUUACUGAUAUUGUUUGGCUCUGUGUCCCUACCCAAAUCCCAUCUCGAAAAUUAAUCCCUAUAGUCCCCACCUGUUGAGGGUCCUGGUGGGAGGUAAUUGGAUCCUGGGGGCGGCUUUUCCCAUGCUGUUCUCGUGAUAGUGAGUAAGUUCUCACGAGAGCUGACGGUUUUAUAAGUGUUUGACAGUUUCUCCUUCACACGCUCUCUCUUCUGUCUCCUGCCAUCAUGUAAGAUGUGCCUGCUUCUCCUCCUCUCAUGAUUGCAAGUCUCCUGAGGCC
This 3146-nucleotide long non-coding RNA is filed under the name Homo sapiens (human). RNAcentral describes it as "VLDLR antisense RNA 1". The record is from RNAcentral. Lineage: Eukaryota; Metazoa; Chordata; Mammalia; Primates; Hominidae.